GAUGAACGCUGGCGGCGUGCCUAAUACAUGCAAGUCGAGCGAACGGACGAGAAGCUUGCUUCUCUGAUGUUAGCGGCGGACGGGUGAGUAACACGUGUAUAACCUACCUAUAAGACUGGGAUAACUUCGGGAAACCGGAGCUAAUACCGGAUAAUAUUUUGAACCGCAUGGUUCAAAAGUGAAAGACGGUCUUGCUGUCACUUAUAGAUGGAUCCGCGCUGCAUUAGCUAGUUGGUAAGGUAACGGCUUACCAAGGCAACGAUGCAUAGCCGACCUGAGAGGGUGAUCGGCCACACUGGAACUGAGACACGGUCCAGACUCCUACGGGAGGCAGCAGUAGGGAAUCUUCCGCAAAGGGCGAAAGCCUGACGGAGCAACGCCGCGUGAGUGAUGAAGGUCUUCGGAUCGUAAAACUCUGUUAUUAGGGAAGAAAAUAUGUGUAAGAAACUGUGCACAUCUUGACGGUACCUAAUCAGAAAGCAACGGCUAACUACGUG
This 497-nucleotide ribosomal RNA is filed under the name uncultured bacterium. RNAcentral describes it as "partial 16S ribosomal RNA". It matches the Rfam family "Bacterial small subunit ribosomal RNA", at positions 28 to 507 of the family's 1533-position model. The record is from RNAcentral.